ACCUUGUGAUGCCUCUGAAAGUGGCCUCCCUGUUCCUAGUCUAAGAAAUCGAUUUGAUUCUUUGUCUUUUCCCACAGCCUCAUGUCUCCCCUGGGACAGCUUACUAUACGAACAAAAUAUGAAACACGCCUACAGUUUUACAGUGACAGAGCCAAAGCUUUUUCUGUUAUCGUUUGCGUAGCCCUUGGGGAAAUAUCAGAAUGGGGAUUGAUCUUGGCAAAGAGAUAG
Molecule: long non-coding RNA, 228 nt
Filed under: Homo sapiens (human)
Lineage: Eukaryota; Metazoa; Chordata; Mammalia; Primates; Hominidae
Description: HSALNT0040438
Source: RNAcentral